This 58-nucleotide transfer RNA is filed under the name Marmota monax (woodchuck). It matches the Rfam family "tRNA", at positions 8 to 63 of the family's 71-position model. From Rfam's summary of the family: Transfer RNA (tRNA) molecules are approximately 80 nucleotides in length. Their secondary structure includes four short double-helical elements and three loops (D, anti-codon, and T loops). Further hydrogen bonds mediate the characteristic L-shaped molecular structure. tRNAs have two regions of fundamental functional importance: the anti-codon, which is responsible for specific mRNA codon recognition, and the 3' end, to which the tRNAs corresponding amino acid is attached (by aminoacyl-tRNA synthetases). tRNAs cope with the degeneracy of the genetic code in two manners: having more than one tRNA (with a specific anti-codon) for a particular amino acid; and 'wobble' base-pairing, i.e. permitting non-standard base-pairing at the 3rd anti-codon position. RNAcentral also lists the same sequence under 2 other names. The record is from Rfam by way of RNAcentral. Lineage: Eukaryota; Metazoa; Chordata; Mammalia; Rodentia; Sciuridae.
UAGUUCAGUUGGUAGAGUGCUUGCCUUGCAUGCAUAAGGCCCUGGGUUCAAUCCCCAG